This 759-nucleotide ribosomal RNA is filed under the name Xanthomarina spongicola. Its description in RNAcentral is "bacterial SSU rRNA". It matches the Rfam family "Bacterial small subunit ribosomal RNA", at positions 67 to 817 of the family's 1533-position model. Lineage: Bacteria; Pseudomonadati; Bacteroidota; Flavobacteriia; Flavobacteriales; Flavobacteriaceae. The record is from RNAcentral.
CGGUAACAGGGAUUAGCUUGCUAAUUUGCUGACGAGUGGCGCACGGGUGCGUAACGCGUAUACAAUCUACCUUUUACAGGGGGAUAGCCCAGAGAAAUUUGGAUUAAUACCUCAUAGUAUAUAGACUAGGCAUCUAGAUUAUAUUAAAGUUUCGGCGGUAAAAGAUGAGUAUGCGUUCUAUUAGCUAGAUGGUGUGGUAACGGCACACCAUGGCAACGAUAGAUAGGGGCCCUGAGAGGGGGAUCCCCCACACUGGUACUGAGACACGGACCAGACUCCUACGGGAGGCAGCAGUGAGGAAUAUUGGACAAUGGGCGCAAGCCUGAUCCAGCCAUGCCGCGUGCAGGAAGACUGCCCUAUGGGUUGUAAACUGCUUUUAUACAGGAAGAAACACCUCUACGUGUAGAGGCUUGACGGUACUGUAAGAAUAAGGAUCGGCUAACUCCGUGCCAGCAGCCGCGGUAAUACGGAGGAUCCAAGCGUUAUCCGGAAUCAUUGGGUUUAAAGGGUCCGUAGGUGGAUAAUUAAGUCAGAGGUGAAAUCCUGCAGCUCAACUGUAUAAUUGCCUUUGAUACUGGUUAUCUUGAGUUAUUAUGAAGUAGUUAGAAUAUGUAGUGUAGCGGUGAAAUGCAUAGAUAUUACAUAGAAUACCAAUUGCGAAGGCAGAUUACUAAUAAUAUACUGACACUGAUGGACGAAAGCGUGGGGAGCGAACAGGAUUAGAUACCCUGGUAGUCCACGCCGUAAACGAUGGUUACU